UACGAAGGGGGCUAGCGUUGCUCGGAAUCACUGGGCGUAAAGCGCACGUAGGCGGCUUUCUAAGUCAGGGGUGAAAUCCUGGAGCUCAACUCCAGAACUGCCUUUGAUACUGGAGAGCUUGAGUCCGGGAGAGGUGAGUGGAACUCCGAGUGUAGAGGUGAAAUUCGUAGAUAUUCGGAAGAACACCAGUGGCGAAGGCAGCUCGCUGGAACGGUACUGACGCUGAGGCGCGAAAGCGUGGGGAGCGAACAGG
RNAcentral lists this ribosomal RNA (253 nucleotides) under uncultured bacterium. RNAcentral describes it as "partial 16S ribosomal RNA". It matches the Rfam family "Bacterial small subunit ribosomal RNA", at positions 524 to 776 of the family's 1533-position model. The record is from RNAcentral.